AGACCCGAAACCCGGUGAUCUAGCCAUGGGCAGGUUGAAGGUUGGGUAACACUAACUGGAGGACCGAACCGACUAAUGUUGAAAAAUUAGCGGAUGACCUGUGGCUGGGGGUGAAAGGCCAAUCAAACCGGGAGAUAGCUGGUUCUCCCCGAAAGCUAUUUAGGUAGCGCCUCGUGAAUUCAUCUCCGGGGGUAGAGCACUGUUUCGGCUAGGGGGCCAUCCCGGCUUACCAACCCGAUGCAAACUGCGAAUACCGGAGAAUGUUAUCACGGGAGACACACGGCGGGUGCUAACGUCCGUCGUGAAGAGGGAAACAACCCAGACCGCCAGCUAAGGUCCCAAAGUCAUGGUUAAGUGGGAAACGAUGUGGGAAGGCCCAGACAGCCAGGAUGUUGGCUUAGAAGCAGCCAUCAUUUAAAGAAAGCGUAAUAGCUCACUGGUCGAGUCGGCCUGCGCGGAAGAUGUAACGGGGCUAAACCAUGCACCGAAGCUGCGGCAGCGACACUCAGGUGUUGUUGGGUAGGGGAGCGUUCUGUAAGCCUGUGAAGGUGUGUCGUGAGGCAUGCUGGAGGUAUCAGAAGUGCGAAUGCUGACAUAAGUAACGAUAAAGCGGGUGAAAAGCCCGCUCGCCGGAAGACCAAGGGUUCCUGUCCAACGUUAAUCGGGGCAGGGUGAGUCGACCCCUAAGGCGAGGCCGAAAGGCGUAGUCGAUGGGAAACGGGUUAAUAUUCCCGUACUUGGUGUUACUGCGAAGGGGGGACGGAGAAGGCUAUGUUGGCCGGGCGACGGUUGUCCCGGUUUAAGCGUGUAGGUGUGUGUUCCAGGUAAAUCCGGUUCACUUUAACACUGAGGCGUGAUGACGAGGCACUACGGUGCUGAAGCAACAAAUGCCCUGCUUCCAGGAAAAGCCUCUAAGCAUCAGGUAACAUCAAAUCGUACCCCAAACCGACACAGGUGGUC
This 960-nucleotide ribosomal RNA is filed under the name Salmonella enterica. RNAcentral's name for it is "partial 23S ribosomal RNA". It matches the Rfam family "Bacterial large subunit ribosomal RNA", at positions 711 to 1668 of the family's 2925-position model. The record is from RNAcentral. Lineage: Bacteria; Pseudomonadati; Pseudomonadota; Gammaproteobacteria; Enterobacterales; Enterobacteriaceae.